AGAGCGAACGCUGGCGGCAGGCCUAACACAUGCAAGUCGAGCGCCCGUAGCAAUACGGGAGCGGCAGACGGGAUAGUAACACGUGGGAACGCGCCCUUCGGUUCGGAAUAGCUCAGGGAAACUUGAGCUAAUACCGGAUACGCCCUUACGGGGAAAGAUUUAUUGCCGAAGGAACGGCCCGCGUCCGAUUAGCUAGUUGGUGAGGUAAUGGCUCACCAAGGCGACGAUCGGUAGCUGGUCUGAGAGGAUGACCAGCAUCACUGGGACUGAGACACGGCCCAGACUCCUACGGGAGGCAGCAGUGGGGAAUAUUGGACAAUGGGCGCAAGCCUGAUCCAGCCAUGCCGCGUGGAUGAUGAAGGCCUUAGGGUUGUAAAGUCCUUUUAACGGGGAAGAUAAUGACGGUACCCGUAGAAUAAGCCCCGGCUAACUUCGUGCCAGCAGCCGC
This 448-nucleotide ribosomal RNA is filed under the name uncultured bacterium. Its description in RNAcentral is "SSU rRNA". It matches the Rfam family "Bacterial small subunit ribosomal RNA", at positions 26 to 518 of the family's 1533-position model. The record is from RNAcentral.